This 468-nucleotide ribosomal RNA is filed under the name uncultured bacterium. RNAcentral's name for it is "partial 16S ribosomal RNA". It matches the Rfam family "Bacterial small subunit ribosomal RNA", at positions 28 to 507 of the family's 1533-position model. The record is from RNAcentral.
GACGAACGCUGGCGGCGUGCUUAACACAUGCAAGUCGAACGGAAAGGCCCUGCUUUUGUGGGGGGCUCGAGUGGCGAACGGGUGAGUAACACGUGAGUAACCUGACCUUGACUGUGGGAUAACGUCAGGAAACUGGGGCUAAUACCGGAUAGGAGCUCCUGCGGCAUGGGGGGGGUUGGAGAGUUUCGGCGGUUGUGGAUGGACUCGCGGCUUAUCAGCUUGUUGGUGGGGUAGUGUCUUACCAAGGCUUUGACGGGUAGCCGGCCUGAGAGGGUGACCGGCCACAUUGGGACUGAGAUGAGGCCCAGAAUCCUACGGGAGGAAGCAGUGGGGAAUAUUGCACAAUGGGCGGAAGCAUGAUGCAGCAACGCCGCGUGCGGGAUGACGGCCGUCGGGUUGUAAACCGCUUUUGCCUGUGAAGAAGAGUGAGUGACGGUAAUGGGUAAAGAAGCACCGGCUAACUACGUG